GUGCUUGUUUAACAAUUGUGUAUACUAAAAUUGGGAUGCUGCAGAGAAGGUUAGCAUGUCCCCUGGACAAGGUUUUCACACUAAUCUCUGGUGUUUGGGGUGAUUGG
Cricetulus griseus (Chinese hamster) is the source of this 107-nucleotide small nuclear RNA. NCBI's taxonomy places the organism in Eukaryota, Metazoa, Chordata, Mammalia, Rodentia, Cricetidae. The record is from Ensembl.